AUUUUCAUGAAAAUACAUUUUAUAAAUCUAUUAUCGUCGUUUCUAUAAUAUAAUAUUUGAUGAUAAUUUUAAUAAUAUAUUUAAAUAAUUUACGAAAUAAAAUACCAUGUUGUAACAUAAUUGCGGAAAUUAGUGUUAAAAAAUAUUGUACUAUGCGAUUUUGGUUCUUGACUUCCAGUGAUGACGUCACGAAAGCGUUCUCAGGCUUUCAAUAUAGGUGGUGUUGGCCCGGCCUGUCGAUCCCUCCUCCACAAUCCGGUGAUCCCUUCGCGGGAUAGGCAGCCUGUGGAAGAACAUGCUUCGUCCCGCCACUUAGUACUCCUAUUGAGUGGAAAGCGGCGUCAUCUAUUGACAAAAAAAAAGAUAUGAC
This 370-nucleotide long non-coding RNA is filed under the name Androctonus crassicauda. The record is from RNAcentral. Lineage: Eukaryota; Metazoa; Arthropoda; Arachnida; Scorpiones; Buthidae.